RNAcentral lists this unclassified non-coding RNA (1438 nucleotides) under Hevea brasiliensis (rubber tree). The record is from RNAcentral. Lineage: Eukaryota; Viridiplantae; Streptophyta; Magnoliopsida; Malpighiales; Euphorbiaceae.
AAUAGACUAAAUCUGUACAUUUAUUUCUCGAAUUUGAGUACAUGCAGCAUAUUCUGCGUCUUAAAUUUCGGCAAUUACAAUUCUUCUCAGUUCCCUUCCUUCCCUUUUUUGGGUGGUUGCUCUCUAUGGUUUAUAAACCAUGCGUUAAUCCCCAAAGCGGAUUUUUCAUGCAUCUUGCUGCCUGUUUCAAAGAAUUGCUGUACAUACAAGUAAGAAUUUGGUAGCUGUGUAACAUUGAAGCAGUAAUAGCAAGUAGGCUUUAGUUAUAAUUUGGGGCAUACAUUAAUGAAUUUCAAACGGCAUACAACCAGAAACCAAAUAGUGCUAUCGGCACCUCAAAUCCACUCCUACUCAACAGGAAUCUGCAUCUCAAUAGCUAUGCCAAACUAAAAUUGUCACCAAAUCAUGCUAACACUCUUGCAAGCUCUCAGUAUUUCGUGGGAUGAAAUUGAAAGAUAACCAAACUUUCUUGACUAAUAACAGCAUGGCUUCCCAUUUUUAACUAACAACUGAAAAUUUUCAAUCUUAUAAAUUUCUUCAACCCCUGGCCAACAUCACAUCCAAGUGAUUCAAAUCAACAUUGGAUGAAGAUCCUUCAACCCGAGGAGCUUUCCUGAUAUUUCUAUUGUUGUAGAUAAGUUCUUGUUUAUAUGGAUGCUCCUUGCAGGCUACAUGAUGCAGAUGGAGCAACGCAAUCAUGCUAACUGCAAAUAACGCAGCGUUGCCCAGCAACCCACCCAUAUGAUCCAAUUUAAGGGAUUUCCUCACAAAAUCAAAACUUGAAAUAAGAACUUUGAUUGCCAUUUUAGAUCCCUUCUCUUUGCGCCUAACAAGAUUCUCACCAGAUGGACACUGAGAUGAACCAUAAAGGUUUUCAGGAGAAACAAAGCGACUUGCAUCAUGUACAUGACCAACGAAAUCUAGAGCUUCUUCAAUGACUUUGUACUUCUUACCAUGGUGUUCAGCCAAUCUCAUUGCAAGAACAAUCCUGCUUUGUUCUAAUCGAGCAAUUGCAGCAUCUCUCUCAGCCCGCUGUUGUAUUUGUACAGUAUGGAAGAACUCCAACUGAUCCUCAAGGUUCUCGAGAGCAGUCCUGAUAGCGUUGAGACUCUUGGCCUCUUGAAUCGCGGAUUCAUUAUCAUCAACACGAAACUCCUUGACGAAGACAAAGCCAGCCCGGUUCUCUUCAACGACGUCGUUGUAGAGUUUCUUCUUAUCAGACUUCCUUAGGUUUCCGACAGAGUUGAGGAAGUGGGUGCGGGAAAUUGAGUGAAUGGCGUCGCUCAAUUUGUCGUGUAGGUCCCAGAUUUUCUCCAGAACAGCUUCUAUUUCUUCAAUCUCCAUAUCCCAAUUCAUGUGUGAAAGCCAAUGAAUUUUGUGCAAGGAAAGUUUAGUUUGAGCUGCAGUGAGCUUUUUGAGGAAGAAAGACAUCUGUCAG